RNAcentral lists this ribosomal RNA (397 nucleotides) under uncultured bacterium. RNAcentral describes it as "bacterial SSU rRNA". It matches the Rfam family "Bacterial small subunit ribosomal RNA", at positions 104 to 536 of the family's 1533-position model. The record is from RNAcentral.
UGGUGAGUAACACGUGGGAACAUACCUUGAAGUGGGGGACAACAGUUGGAAACGACUGCUAAUACCGCAUAAUCCCUGAGGGGGAAAGAUUUAUCGCUUUAAGAUUGGCCCGCGGAAGAUUAGGUAGUUGGUGGGGUAAAGGCCUACCAAGCCGACGAUCUAUAGCUGGUCUGAGAGGACGAACAGCCACAUUGGAACUGAGACACGGUCCAGACUCCUACGGGAGGCAGCAGUGAGGAAUAUUGGGCAAUGGAGGAAACUCUGACCCAGCCAUGCCGCGUGAGUGAAGAAGGUUUUCGAAUUGUAAAGCUCUUUCGGAUGGGACGAUGAUGACGGUACCAUCUAAAGAAGCCCCGGCAAACUUCGUGCCAGCAGCCGCGGUAAUACGAAGGGGGCA